GCGGGCGAGGUGACCUCGGGCGGAUUUGCAAGCCCCACAAGUUUCUCCUUUCUCUGCAAAACUGUCGUGAUUACAAUGUUGCUCCCCUUUUGCAAAAUAAAAGUAGGUUAGUUGGAUUGUUUGUCCUUAGAUUUCUAGGGGUUCAUGAAGGAGGAUGUGUAUUUCUCCCUCCCCCCCGCACUGCACACCCCGCGCCCUGUUACUUUUUUUUUCCGCUUCUCUUUCUGGGGAUGGAAAAACAACUUUGGGGCCCCCUGGGGGGUGCCGGCGUGGAGGUGGAGGUGUCCGCUAGGGCCCAGCUGUCAAAAAGCAGUGGGGCGUGGGGGGCAGAGACGACUGGGCAGGGAAACGCCGAGGAAAGGGCGCGAACUUUAUUCCGACUGCUGCGAACCUCGGCGUCGCUUUUCUUUUCGGGCAGUCGCCGGUCUCGGUCCCUUUUGACCAGUUCCUACUCGCGAGCCGCCGCCGCCGCCGCCGCCGCCGCCCCCUCCUCCUUUCCCCUUCCCCUCCUCCUUCGUGCCCGUCGCGCUGCCCCGCACCCGGAUCAGCCCGGGUCCCUGCUCGCUGUCGGGGAGAAGGGAAGGCAGGCACAGGUUUCGAGCAUAUUCCCUGAACACUUGAAAAUCAGAAUCGGCGGAGGCGAACACUUGGCUUGGCAGGACAGCAGGUCUGGUUACCGGUUUCCACUGAGAAGAGAAAAUCAUCCCUCCUUGCUUUCUCUCUUCCCCGAAGUAGAGGAAGAGACUGCCCAAUUGCACUCAGAGUACGAAGAUCAACUCAGUGCGAUGGGGCAAGAGAAGUGCCAUCAACGAAGCCCAAAGAAAGUUCGUAGAAGAGUUCCCUGGUGGCUCAGCAAGUUAAGGAUCCAGCGUUGUCACUGCUGUGGCUCAGGUCACUGUGGUUCAGGUCGCUGCAGUGAUCAUUGACCUGGAAUUUCAACCUGCUAUGGGUAUGCCUUUCCCCCCCAAAAGAGAAGAAGGACUUGUGGGAAAUCCAAAGAAAUGAGACUGUUCUGGUUCAAGAAAUAACUAGGAAGUGGUGUUUGAGAUGGGCCUAGAAAGAUGCCAACAGGCAGAGGGAUUUUCAGGUGGAGGAAAAUAAAUGUGAGAAGAAAGAAUGUGCA
Molecule: long non-coding RNA, 1123 nt
Filed under: Sus scrofa (pig)
Lineage: Eukaryota; Metazoa; Chordata; Mammalia; Artiodactyla; Suidae
Description: lncRNA (ENSSSCG00050068625.1)
Source: RNAcentral